This 440-nucleotide ribosomal RNA is filed under the name uncultured bacterium. Its description in RNAcentral is "partial 16S ribosomal RNA". It matches the Rfam family "Bacterial small subunit ribosomal RNA", at positions 339 to 795 of the family's 1533-position model. The record is from RNAcentral.
CUACGGGAGGCAGCAGUGGGGAAUAUUGCACAAUGGGGGGAACCCUGAUGCAGCGACGCCGCGUGAGUGAAGAAGUAUUUCGGUAUGUAAAGCUCUGUCAGCAGGGAAGAAGAAAGACGGUACCUGACCAAGAAGCCCCGGCUAACUACGUGCCAGCAGCCGCGGUAAUACGUAGGGGGCAAGCGUUAUCCGGAUUUACUGGGUGGAAAGGGAGCGUAGACGGCAGGGCAAGUCUGGAGUGAAAGGCAGGGGACCAACCCCUGGACUGCUCUGGAAACUGUCCGGCUGGAGUGCAGGAGAGGAAAGUGGAAUUCCUGGUGUAGCGGUGAAAUGCGUAGAUAUUAGGAGGAACACCAGUGGCGAAGGCGGCUUACUGGACUGUAACUGACGUUGAGGCUCGAAAGCGUGGGGAGCAAACAGGAUUAGAUACCCCUGUAGUC